AGUCAUUUUCUUUCUUUCUCUCUGGAAGAAGAACGGAGGAGGACGCAUGGAGCCUACGUGCGCUCUCACCAACAUUACUUUUAUGACAAUUACUUGUUGAAUUCCCCGUUUAUUCAACAGUUGGAUGGAGACUAAUGGUUCCAGACAUUCAUACAGGCUGAUUUGUUUCACUCAAGGUUCUGUGUCUUUCAGGGAUAGAUGGUGCUGGAUGCGUUACUGUGGUACCGAGACUUGAUGGGCUGGCAGGAUGCUGAAGACGCUGUAGGAGGAUCAUCGAGUCUUUUGGUGAGUUAGGUCUGCAACUGUACUCUGCCGCGUGCCUAAGGGGGGGGGGGAAUCAGGAACACAAUUAUAAUUUAGUGUACUACAAAUUGACAAUUAAGCACAUUGUAUUUGAAAAUGCCUUGAUUACAUUGAGACACGAUCACAUAUAUAUUUUUAUUUGUGGGGAUACUCAGAUUUCCUAAAUUGAAGGUGUUUUUAGCUGAAUUCCCAGUCAUUUGUGUUGUACACUUUGGGGUGUUUCCUGUUGCUGACCCUUGACCUAUACCUUUUUCUCCACUGCCAUUAACUUGCCAGUAUACAACUAGCCCAAUUGAGUUGGCUGUUUGACAUCUGUUUUCCCUUUGGAUAAUGUUGAUACUGGAGUUGUGAUGAGUUAUCAUUUUUGCCGUUUACCCAUCAGACUAUUAUUGGGGUGCUGAGAAUGUGACUAACUGAACUACCAGUGUAUUCUGACAUGUUUUACAUUACAUCUAUCAAAUGAUGUUAAUUUGAACGUGUAUUCUUUCCUAGAUUUGAUUGGCUAGCAUGUAGACUGAAGAAGUAAAUCUUGCCCUGUGGUGAGUUUUUCCUCCUGAGGGCCAAACCUGAUGUGUACGUCUUUUGUCGAAAGUGCAUGCAACUGUAGUUGUGAUGAGUUCUACAUUUUGCCGUUUACCCAUCAGACUAAAUUGGGGUGCUGACAAUGUGACGAACUGAACUAUCAGUAUAAUCUCUUGCAUAUUUUGCCUAACUACAAUCAAAUGAAAUGCUAAUAGACUGUUCUUCGAUUCUAGAUUGAUGGUCCAGUAUGAAGAUCUAAAUCUCAGCCCUAUGGUGAGUUUGAGGGCUUAACAUAGCCAAGAAACUGUUUUCCUUGGGUCUGUUCUGCUACUGGAGUUGUGAUGACUUCACACUUUUGCCGUUUACCCAUCUGACUAAAUUGGGGUGUUGAGACUGUGACUAACUGAACCACCAGCAUUAUCAUUGAUCAUUUAAUAGCUAAACCUGCAAUCCCUGACAAAAUAAGGUUUACCAAGACUUUUGUAUUUUUAUUGUGUAGGUUUGUUGGACCUGCAGUAGAUGAGUGUCUUAUGGUGAGUUUCUUCCUGGUUUGAGGUGUCGACUUAGAACUGUUCAGCCAUUUUACUGGAAUUGUGAUGCCUUUUCUGCUGAUUUACCCUCCUGAAAAGCCAUUCAUCUCAAUUACCAGCACUAUAAAUAAACUAUUGUAGAACGUUAAAGUAAUUUUGUUGCCAGCAAAUCUAAUUUAACCUUUUAUUUAUCUAGGCAUUAGUCUUAAUGAUUACAGUUGAUUAUCAAUUAAGAAACUGGUAAUUUACUUUAGCUGUGUUUGACUAUUGACACAAUCCUCAAGGUUUGGAAGGUGGCUCAUGUACUCAAAAGUUAACCCGUGACACCUAAAUAUCCUUUGCCCCUUUUCAAAACUUUCUUGCCUGGCAAAAAAACAACCAUGGUCUCAAUGUGACCAUGUCUAAAUAAAGUCAAAAAAAAAUUCCUGAUUUUAAUCUGCCCUGUUCAUUAUGAUACAUGUUAUUAAAAACUACUUUAUAGUA
This is a long non-coding RNA of Salvelinus namaycush (lake trout), 1838 nucleotides long. RefSeq lists it as uncharacterized. Lineage: Eukaryota; Metazoa; Chordata; Actinopteri; Salmoniformes; Salmonidae. The record is from RefSeq and is a predicted model, not a curated record. The transcript has 4 exons.